CCUACGGGAGGCUGCAGUGGGGAAUAUUGGACAAUGGGGGAAACCCUUAUCCAGCGACGCCGCGUGAGGGAAGAAGGUUUUCGGAUUGUAAACCUCUGUCAGUGGGGACGAUAAUGACGGUACCCACGGAGGAAGCCACGGCUAACUACGUGCCAGCAGCCGCGGUAAUACGGAGGGUGCAAGCGUUGCCCGGAAUUACUGGGCGUAAAGGGAGCGUAGGCGGGAUGUUAAGUCAGAUGUGAAAAUUUUGGGCUCAACUCAUGACCUGCUUUUGAAACUGUGAUUCUUGAGUGAGGUAGAGGCAAGCGGAAUUCCUAGUGUAGCGGUGAAAUGCGUAGAUAUUAGGAGGAACACCAGGGGCGAAGGCGGCUUGCUGGGAUUUUACUGACGCUGAGGCUCGAAAGCGUGGGGAGCAAACAGGAUUAGAUACCCGGGUAGUC
Molecule: ribosomal RNA, 440 nt
Filed under: uncultured bacterium
Lineage: Bacteria
Description: partial 16S ribosomal RNA
Rfam family: Bacterial small subunit ribosomal RNA
Source: RNAcentral